AGACCCGAAACCCGGUGAUCUAGCCAUGGGCAGGUUGAAGGUUGGGUAACACUAACUGGAGGACCGAACCGACUAAUGUUGAAAAAUUAGCGGAUGACCUGUGGCUGGGGGUGAAAGGCCAAUCAAACCGGGAGAUAGCUGGUUCUCCCCGAAAGCUAUUUAGGUAGCGCCUCGUGAAUUCAUCUCCGGGGGUAGAGCACUGUUUCGGCUAGGGGGCCAUCCCGGCUUACCAACCCGAUGCAAACUGCGAAUACCGGAGAAUGUUAUCACGGGAGACACACGGCGGGUGCUAACGUCCGUCGUGAAGAGGGAAACAACCCAGACCGCCAGCUAAGGUCCCAAAGUCAUGGUUAAGUGGGAAACGAUGUGGGAAGGCCCAGACAGCCAGGAUGUUGGCUUAGAAGCAGCCAUCAUUUAAAGAAAGCGUAAUAGCUCACUGGUCGAGUCGGCCUGCGCGGAAGAUGUAACGGGGCUAAACCAUGCACCGAAGCUGCGGCAGCGAACGUAUCACCCAAGACAACUUUACGGAGUUGACGAUUGACGGAGCGAAGCGACGUCAAAGCGUUCAUUAAAGUCGAGUUGGCUUAGGGAUACGUUCGUUGGGUAGGGGAGCGUUCUGUAAGCCUGUGAAGGUGUGUCGUGAGGCAUGCUGGAGGUAUCAGAAGUGCGAAUGCUGACAUAAGUAACGAUAAAGCGGGUGAAAAGCCCGCUCGCCGGAAGACCAAGGGUUCCUGUCCAACGUUAAUCGGGGCAGGGUGAGUCGACCCCUAAGGCGAGGCCGAAAGGCGUAGUCGAUGGGAAACGGGUUAAUAUUCCCGUACUUGGUGUUACUGCGAAGGGGGG
RNAcentral lists this ribosomal RNA (843 nucleotides) under Salmonella enterica. RNAcentral describes it as "partial 23S ribosomal RNA". It matches the Rfam family "Bacterial large subunit ribosomal RNA", at positions 711 to 1471 of the family's 2925-position model. Lineage: Bacteria; Pseudomonadati; Pseudomonadota; Gammaproteobacteria; Enterobacterales; Enterobacteriaceae. The record is from RNAcentral. RNAcentral also lists the same sequence under 1 other name.